UGCAGGCUUCAUGGUGGAUUUUCUUUAACUUGAAGUCUUUAAAUCAUGAUUUGAGGACUUCAAUAACUUAGCCAGAUGUUAUGGAUCUAUUACAAGAGGGGAUGGGUAAGGUUCUGUGGCCUGCAAUGUGCAGGAAGUCAGACUAGAUG
Dermochelys coriacea (leatherback sea turtle) is the source of this 149-nucleotide long non-coding RNA. RefSeq lists it as uncharacterized. Lineage: Eukaryota; Metazoa; Chordata; Testudines; Dermochelyidae. The transcript is spliced from 3 exons. The record is from RefSeq and is a predicted model, not a curated record.